UCUCCGUAGGUGAACCUGCGGAGGGAUCAUUACUGAGUGAGGGCUCACGCCCGACCUCCAACCCUUUGUGAACGCAACUAGUUGCUUCGGGGGGCGACCCUGCCGUUCGGCGCGGCGCCCCCGGAGGUCAUCAAACCCUGCGUAACUAAGUCGUCGGAGUUUAAACAAAUUAAACAAAACUUUCAACAACGGAUCUCUUGGUUCGGGCAUCGAUGAAGAACGCAGC
RNAcentral lists this unclassified non-coding RNA (226 nucleotides) under uncultured fungus. Its description in RNAcentral is "sequence contains ITS1, 5.8S rRNA gene". The stretch from base 178 to 226 matches the Rfam family "5.8S ribosomal RNA", at positions 1 to 49 of the family's 154-position model. The record is from RNAcentral. Lineage: Eukaryota; Fungi.